GAUGAACGCUGGCGGCGUGCCUAAUACAUGCAAGUCGAGCGAACAGACGCUGCUCUUGCUCCUCUGACGUUAGCGGCGGACGGGUGACUCACACGUGGAUAACCUACCUAUUAGACUGGGAUAACUGCGGGAAACCGGAACUAAUACCGGGUAAUAUAUUGAACCGCAUGGUUCAAUAGUGAAAGUCGGCUUUGCUGCCACUUAUAGAUCGCUGCGCGCCUCAUGAUCUAGUUGGUAGGGUAACGGCUUACCAAGGCAGCGAUGCGUAGCCGCCCGGGGAGGGGGGUCGGCGACACUGGAAGUGAGCCACGGUCACGGCUCCUACGGAAGGCAGAAGACGGGAAUAUUCGCCGCUGGGCGAAAGCUUGACGGAGGAACGCCGCGUGGGUGAUGAAGGUCUUCGGAUCGGAAAACUCUGUUAUUGGGGAGGAACAAAUGUGUAAGUAACUAUGCACGUCUUGACGGUACCUAAUCAGAAAGCAACGGCUAACUACGUG
Molecule: ribosomal RNA, 497 nt
Filed under: uncultured bacterium
Lineage: Bacteria
Description: partial 16S ribosomal RNA
Rfam family: Bacterial small subunit ribosomal RNA
Source: RNAcentral